RNAcentral lists this ribosomal RNA (1233 nucleotides) under Triticum aestivum (bread wheat). Its description in RNAcentral is "partial small subunit ribosomal RNA". The record is from RNAcentral. Lineage: Eukaryota; Viridiplantae; Streptophyta; Magnoliopsida; Poales; Poaceae.
AUGCGCCUCCGUCCCAAGGUCCACGCGAGUGAGGAGGCAUCCACAGUGAUCCGCAGCAAUCGCCACAUCUCGCCUGCGAGGCUGGCCUCGCCGCUUGAAGACGACAAUCUCUUGAGGGAGAUUUUGCUCCGUCUCCCGCCGCGACCAUCCUCCCUGCCCCGCGCCUCCGCUGUCUGCAAGCGAUGGCAACGCGCCAGCACCGACCCAAGGUUCCACCGCCAGUUCCAUGAAUACCACCAAAAGCCACCCCUCCUCGGUUUCUUCGAGGAUAACAUGGAUGGUAUCAUGUUCAGACCAAUCCUGGACCAUCCUGAUCGUAUCCCUUCACAAUGCUUCGACCUGCGAGCCCACGUCAUUGACAAUGGCAACCUCUCGAGGUUCCAACUCCUUGGGUGCCGCCACGGCCGCCUUCUCAUCAUGCGCCCACUGCAGCAGGAUCUUAUUGUCAUUGCCCCCAUCACCGACGAGGAGUGUCGUGUGUCCAUUCCUCCGGAGUUCAAUAAACGCUAUGUCAACGGCGCAGUGCUCUAUGCGGCUGCUGACCACGGCCAUGUGCAUGGAAGCUGCCACUUGAGCCCAUUCAAGGUGGUCUUGCUCUCCACCAGCACCUACUACAGUGGUCCACAACUCGUUUUGGCAUCUGUUUACUCUUCGGAGGCUGGCAUAUGGGGCGACGUCAUCUCAACACCGACUCCAUGUGAGCUUCGUGGUGCCAGUAUUCAUGGGUCGCUAGUUGGUAAUGCACUUUACUGGUUGUUUGAAGACUACAUGAUUGAGUUUCAUUUGGAUGGACACAUCCUAGCUUUGAUCGAUGUGCCUCCCACAAUAAAUGAGGCCCGUCGCUUUUUGACAUGCAUGAGGUCAUCCAGAUCAUGGAUGGCGUUGUUAGUAUCGCCAUAUUGUCUCACUAUGACCAUAACAUUCAAAUGUGGCAAAGGAAGGUUAAUUGUCCGGGUGUUACCAAAUGGGAGUUGUGGAAGACCAUUGAUAUGCGUAACAUUGAUGGGAUCCCCCCAUGGGGUUAAAGGAGAGAGGCAAGGGUUGUUAUUUAGACUGAGAUAUACUGAGGAUAGUGAUGAUAUAAUUCUAUAUGUGGGCCCCAAUGUCUAUAUAAUUCAACUUAAGUCGAUGCAAUCGAAGAAACUUUGUGGAACCCGUCAUGUUAGUGGUCAUCAUUCAUUCAAGAGUUUCUGUAUGCCAGGUGAUUGUUCUUCAUUAGUCCUCGCAUCGUAG